CUCCCGGUUAAUCCCGCGGGACCCGACUGCUAUCGGAUUGAGAUUUAGCCAUGCGAGUCGAACGUUCCCCUGUUGCGGGGAGCGUGGCGUACGGCUCAGUAACACGUAGUCAACCUGCCCUGGAGACAAGGACAACCCCGGGAAACUGGGAUUAAUCCUUGAUAGGUCAUCUCAUCUGGAAGGAGAGAUGGCUUAAAGGGGUACGCGGGCUUCUUCCGCGAAUUCGCUCCAGGAUGGGACUGCGUCCGAUCAGGCUGUUGGCGGGGUAAUGGCCCACCAAACCUGUAACCGGUACGGGCCUUGAGAGAGGUGGCCCGGAGAUGGACACUGAGAGAAGGGUCCAGGUCCUACGGGGCGCAGCAGGCGCGAAACCUUCGCAAUGCGCGAAAGCGUGACGAGGUUAAUCCGAGUGACUCCCGCUGAGGGGGUCUUUUGUCAGCUGUAAAUAGGCAGGCGAAUAAGGGGAGGGCAAGCCUGGUGUCAGCCGCCGCGGUAAUACCAGCUCCUCGAGUGGUCGGGGCGAUUAUUGGGCCUAAAGCAUCCGUAGCCGGUUCCGUAGGUCCUCUGUUAAAUCCAACCGCUCAACGGUUGACCUGCAGAGGAUACCGCGGGACUAGGAGGCGGGAGAGGCGGACGGUACUCCGCGUGUAGGGGUAAAAUCCUUUGAUCCGCGGAAGACCACCAGUGGCGAAGGCGGUCCGCCAGAACGCGCUCGACGGUGAGGGAUGAAAGCUGGGGGAGCGAACCGGAUUAGAUACCCGGGUAGUCCCAGCCGUAAACGAUGCUAGCUAGAUGAUUCAUUCGCAAGUCGCGAAUGAAGUGUCGCAGGGAAGCCGUUAAGCUAGCCGCCUGGGGAGUACGGUCGCAAGACUGAAACUUAAAGGAAUUGGCGGGGGAGCA
Molecule: ribosomal RNA, 900 nt
Filed under: uncultured archaeon
Lineage: Archaea
Description: bacterial SSU rRNA
Rfam family: Archaeal small subunit ribosomal RNA
Source: RNAcentral